Molecule: ribosomal RNA, 250 nt
Filed under: uncultured bacterium
Lineage: Bacteria
Description: partial 16S ribosomal RNA
Rfam family: Bacterial small subunit ribosomal RNA
Source: RNAcentral
GACAGAGGGUGCAAACGUUGUUCGGAAUUACUGGGCGUAAAGCGCGUGUAGGCUGCUCGGAAAGUCGGAUGUGAAAGCCCCGGGCUCAACCUGGGAAGUGCACUCGAAACUGCAGAACUCGAGUCCUGGAGAGGAAGGCGGAAUUCUCGGUGUAGAGGUGAAAUGCGUAGAUAUCGGGAGGAACAUCUGUGGCGAAGGCGGCUACCUGGACCAGCACUGACACUGAGGCAUGAAAGCGUGGGGAGCAAAC